AGUGAACGCUGGCGGUAGGCCUAACACAUGCAAGUCGAACGGCAGCACAGUAAGAGCUUGCUCUUACGGGUGGCGAGUGGCGGACGGGUGAGGAAUACAUCGGAAUCUACUUUUUCGUGGGGGAUAACGUAGGGAAACUUACGCUAAUACCGCAUACGACCUACGGGUGAAAGCAGGGGAUCUUCGGACCUUGCGCGAUUGGAUUAGCCGAUGUGGGAUUAGCUAGUUGGCGGGGUAAUGGCCCACCCAGGCGACGAUCCGUAGCUGGUGUGAGAGGAUGAUCAGCCACAUGGGAACUGAGACACGGUCCAGACUCCUAAGGGAGGCAGCAGUGGGGAAUAGUGGACAAUGGGCGCAAGCCUGAUCCAGCGAUACCGCGUGGGUGAAGAAGGCCUUCGGGUUGUAAAGACGUUUUGUUGGGAAAGAAAAGCAGCAGGUUAAUACCACGCUGUUCUGACGGUACCCAAAGAAUAAGCACCGGCUAACUUCGUG
Molecule: ribosomal RNA, 492 nt
Filed under: uncultured bacterium
Lineage: Bacteria
Description: partial 16S ribosomal RNA
Rfam family: Bacterial small subunit ribosomal RNA
Source: RNAcentral